CCUACGGGUGGCAGCAGUGGGGAAUAUUGGGCAAUGGGCGCAAGCCUGACCCAGCAACGCCGCGUGAAGGAAGAAGGCUUUCGGGUUGUAAACUUCUUUUAGGCGGGAAGAGCAGAAGACGGUACCUCUUGAAUAAGCCACGGCUAACUACGUGCCAGCAGCCGCGGUCAUACGUAGGUGGCAAGCGUUGUCCGGAUUUACUGGGUGUAAAGGGCGUGCAGCCGGGAAGACAAGUCAGAUGUGAAAUCCCGGGGCUCAACCGCGGAACUGCAUUUGAAACUGUUUUUCUUGAGUACCGGAGAGGUCAGCGGAAUGCGUUGUGUAGCGGUGAAAUGCGUAGAUAUAAGGAAGAACACCAGUGGCGAAGGCGGAUGACUGGACGGCAACUGACGGUGAGGCGCGAAAGCGUGGGGAGCAAACAGGAUUAGAUACCCGAGUAGUC
Molecule: ribosomal RNA, 442 nt
Filed under: uncultured bacterium
Lineage: Bacteria
Description: partial 16S ribosomal RNA
Rfam family: Bacterial small subunit ribosomal RNA
Source: RNAcentral